CAGCUGUUAUCGAAGCUUCAUAUAUCUAUUGUAAUGCUUUAAAAAUUUAAAAUCUGUAGUAAAUAAGCAAAACAAAAAUGGAUUAUUCUUUAGAGGACGGUAAAUGGAGUGAUCCUUUCGAUGAACUUUUGGACUCUAGAACGAAACUACGUAAAAUGAAUAUUGUAACACAAUCUGUUAGAGUACCCCAUAACAUUGACUCCAGUGUUGAAAAUAGCAGCUUCAUAGAAGUAAAGGAACCCAUUCACGAAGACGAAUCUUUGACUUGUGAAGAUUGCUUUAUAAAAGUGCAUUGUCCCAGUGAUUCUAUAUCAACUCCUUGCGACAAACGAUUAGGCGCAGUAUUAUUUAAUUGCGGCCUCUCUCCAAUUACUCGCUUGAAACUUGAAGGUUUUAAAGGCAGCGGUGGCACUGAUACUAAAGACGCAAAUAUAAAUGUAAAUGUUGAAAAUCCAUUUCUAAACAUAAAUGCCAGCCCAAAUAAAUGUUCUAAUUUCGGGAAAAGACAGUUAAGUAAAUCAUAUAAGAUGGUUACUGUUGUGCACCCUUCUUCGAUUGUAUUACAACCGGGAAAGUGGCGAAAAUCGCUGAACAAUUUUAUCCGAACUAAAAUAACUGAAAUAAAUUUCAACAAAGAAGUAGAACGAAGCUCAAUAUGUCAGGAUCGAAAGUCAUUAGUUUUAAAAGGCGAACACAAAUUUAAAAAUAAAUGUGAAGAAGAAGUUCUGAAAUAUUGCGAUCAGUCUAUACCUCUUCCGUUUAAUGAUGCAUAUGAACAAAAUAAAUGGUUGAAUUCUAUUAAAAUAGGUGAAGGGGCUUAUGGAGAAGUAUUUCUUUGUUCAAGAAAUCAAAACAGAUUGGAAAAACACAUCUCCAAUAUAGUUUUAAAGAUUAUACCUUUAGAGGGUCCUACUGAAAUUAAUGGAGAAAAGCAAAAAACAUUCAGACAAAUUUUACCAGAAAUAAUUAUUACUACAAAAAUGAGCAGCCUUCAAGCAAACAAAAUUAAUUCUACGGAUGGAUUUGUAAGCAUACACAAGGAGGGCCAACAAUAUUGUUUGCAAAUAAUGUUAUUUAAUUUAAUUACUUAAGUGGUCAAAGUGUAGUAAAAAAGUAAUUGCAAACAUCGAAAUUAAAACUGUGAAAAAGGUGACAGCUCUAGAUUUUCUCAAGGACUCCCAUUUCUGCCUUUUCUUGGCUUCAAAGCAAGCAAUGGCAAAUAUAAAAGGCAUUUUCACGUUGUCUGAUUUUGACAAAUAAAAUAAAACAGGCGUUUGAGCAGCAAGAAGCGAUGAGAAAUAAAACAUUCCGAUAGCAAAUCGAUACAAAAAAUUUUGCGAAAACCAGAGCACCUAAAAACAAAAUUGUACGAUUUGGCCGAAAUCGAAAAAAUCUUACGAUUACCGGAGCAUGCCUGAAUAUCAGAAAUGUCAACUAAAUAAGGGAAUAUGCAAAUAAAGUUGGCCCUGGAUUUCUGGAAUUGAUAAUGCAUGCAGAUUCAGCCUUUAAGGCCUGAAAGAGCGAUACCCAUUUAGCCUUGCAGCCGAUUGCAAGAAGCAAGAUCGCUACGUUGAGACGUUCGGGACGAGGAAAGCCUCCGAACUGAGACACAAGUAGCUGAGGUCCUUUAAGACAAAUAACGUUGGCCCGACGAGUCCGAAAGCAUUUAAACAGGUGGGUCCAAUCCUAUCAAGGACCCGAGUACGCGGCGGGACUGUAGUGAAGACCACUCCGACUGUGUCGGAGAUUCCGUAUCACUAGUCAAAGGAAACUACCCACAACAUUUUAUAAAAUUAUGGGAAAAGUAUGAUAACGAAAAGGGAUCUGAGAACGACCAUCCGCGACUUUUUGGAGACAAUCAACUUUUUGUCAUCCUAGAACUGAAGUUUGCAGGAAGUGACAUGGCGAAUUUUCCAUUUUUAAAUUCAGAACAAUCAUAUUACGCUUUACUACAGAUUAUUCUAGCGCUUGCUGUUGGUGAAGAAGAGUAUCAAUUUGAGCACAGGGAUCUUCAUUUGGGAAACAUAUUGAUUGAAUACACCAAUAAGAAGCACAUAAUUUUUACAUUAAAAAACACUCAUUUAACUGUGCUUUCAAAAGGAGUGAACAUGACUAUUAUUGACUAUACUCUUUCAAGAAUAACCAUUGAUAGCUGCUGCUAUUUUAAUGACCUCUCAAGUGAUGAGGAACUUUUUCAGGCAACAGGAGAUUAUCAAUACGAUGUUUAUCGACUGAUGCGGAAUGAAUUGAAGAACAACUGGUCAUUGUUUUCACCAAAAACAAAUAUUCUAUGGCUGUCAUAUGUUAUCGCUAAGUUAUUAGAUAGCGUGAAAUAUAAAAAUAUCAAUACAAAGGUUCACAGGAUGUACAUUGACAAAAUAAAGGAAUUGCAAAACAUUAUAAUGACAUUUGAAAGUGCUACUCAUUGCGCUACUUAUAUGUUUAAUUUAAAUUAAGAUGUAUGUAU
Molecule: RNA transcript, 2467 nt
Organism: Drosophila santomea
Lineage: Eukaryota; Metazoa; Arthropoda; Insecta; Diptera; Drosophilidae
Gene: Haspin
Gene name: serine/threonine-protein kinase haspin homolog
Exons: 7
Source: RefSeq, a predicted model, not a curated record